This 253-nucleotide ribosomal RNA is filed under the name uncultured bacterium. Its description in RNAcentral is "partial 16S ribosomal RNA". It matches the Rfam family "Bacterial small subunit ribosomal RNA", at positions 524 to 776 of the family's 1533-position model. The record is from RNAcentral.
UACGUAGGGUGCGAGCGUUGUCCGGAAUUAUUGGGCGUAAAGAGCUCGUAGGCGGUCUGUCGCGUCUGCUGUGAAAACCCGAGGCUCAACCUCGGGCCUGCAGUGGGUACGGGCAGACUAGAGUGCGGUAAGGGAGAAUGGAAUUCCUGGUGUAGCGGUGAAAUGCGCAGAUAUCAGGAGGAACACCGGUGGCGAAGGCGGUUCUCUGGGCAUUACCUGACGCUGAGGAGCGAAAGUGUGGGGAGCGAACAGG